UUCAAGCUAAGUUGAGGUCAAGGGUCAAAUAUCAACCUAUCAGAGUCACAGUUUAGUUACAACUGUACUUCACUUCAAGUUGACUCACUUAAUUCGUAUAAAUUGUUACCCAAUGACCUUUGUGCCAGUUUCAUACAAUCAUGCUGCUAUCAUAUGAGCUAUAACACUCAGGGGGUGGCACUUACAUUUGUGACUCAGGAGUUUGUCAAGUGACUGUGCCCAUUGGUUGACUUCCUCCACUGUUGGCCUGAGGAAGAAGAGAACAGUCAUAUUAGAUCAACAUGUACAAGAAGCAUACUGUAGUAGUAGUAGUAGUAAAUACUGCUUAUAGUGAUACAUAUUAAGUUGGUUCAUAAUCAGAAUAUAGAGCCUUAUCAUAGUCCUUACUUUACUUCCAUUACAUAAUUCAAAUCCCUGAGCCUCACCUGUAAGAUCUUCCUGCCAUGCAUUUUGAAGAAGAAAAAGAAGAGGUGAUCUUCAAAAGAUAGCGUAUCCUUGUCCUCCAGUUUCUUUUCCUGAAAAAUGCAAUACUUUCUGUUAGGAUAAUGUGACCGCUAUCAUUGCUGAACAAUUUCAAAACAACCAGCAUUAAUAAUACAAACAUGAAUCAUUAAAUAACUUACUUGAUUCCUUUUGUAUCAAUAGAGAAAUCCGAUGCCUUCAUACAGUCUGUACACGCCAUGUCCCUUUCUGAUACAACACACUCUCUCAUGAUUCUGAGGGGUGACACUGAAUAUAGUCCUGACUAUAGCAAGCAAGUUAAUCUACCUCCCUCUAGAGCAGUCAGAGCACUUUAUAGUUUCUCUCUGAUAUCGUCAUGCUAGAAAGGUGGGCCUAGACUAGAGUAACAGAUCUGUAACCUGAUUGGCCCACUCUAUGUAAACAGUUGACUAGGCCAUCCGCUGAUGGUAAGAGCCUGAGGGAGAAAAAGGCAGUGCUAGGGAAUGUGAUUGGCUGUUUAGUGUAAAUGUUUACACUACUGAGAGUGCUUGUGCUUCCAUUUUUAACUCAGGGUGAGACGGUGAGCCAAUGACGUAGAGGCACACCAAGGCCCUCCAAAACCAUAUUAAAGUUUAGAGGACUGACGAGGAUAGGAUUGGUCAGAGGUGUUUCCUCCUAGGAGAUAGCUGUACACUGUAUGGGCAUCUCAGGAGUCUCAGGAGAGGUUUGUUCUGGUGACAUUGGGGACUCGCUGGUGCAGGCCGCCCCUAGAAACUCUACCUCAGAGUGUUGUGGUGUGUUUGUGGACUCCUGUGGAGAGAUCGGCUGGUCACAUCUACCUAUAGUUAGUAUACUAUGAAAAACUAAAUAGAGGCGUGUCUUGGUGAAUCAGAUUUGGACAAGGAUGAACAGAUGAGUCAUGCCCUAGGUGUAUCUAAUUUAACUGAGUUUCAGGGUGGUAAAGAGGGACACCAACACAUGCAACAUGUGUGAGCAAGACACUGUGAGCAAGACAAAGGAGCUGAUCAUGGACUACAGGAAAAGGCGGGCCGAACAGGCCCCCAUUACAUCGACGGGGCUGUAGAGGAGCGAGUCGAGAGUUUCAAGUUCCUUGGUGUCCACAUCACCAACGAACUAUCAUGGUCCAAACACACCAAGACAGUGGUGAAGAGGGCCCAACAACAUAUUUUUCCCCCUCAGGAGACUGAAAAGAUUUGGCAUGGGUCCCCAGAUCCUCAAAAGGUUCUACAGCUGUACCAUCGAGAGUAUCCUACGCGGUGUUAGAAGAAAGACCAAACAUUUUUCAAAGACUCCGAUCACCCAAGUCAUAGACUGUUCUCUCUGCUACCGCACCGCAAGCGGUACUGGAGCGCCAAGUCUAGGACCAAAAGGCUCCUUAACAGCCUCUACCCCAAAGCCGUAAGACUGCUGAACAAUUGA
Molecule: long non-coding RNA, 1881 nt
Organism: Oncorhynchus gorbuscha (pink salmon)
Lineage: Eukaryota; Metazoa; Chordata; Actinopteri; Salmoniformes; Salmonidae
Exons: 5
Source: RefSeq, a predicted model, not a curated record